CGAACGGGUGAGUAACGCGUGAGUAACCUGCCCUAGAGUGGGGGACAACAGUUGGAAACGACUGCUAAUACCGCAUAAGCCCACGGAUCCGCAUGGAUCUGCGGGAAAAGGAUUUAUUCGCCUUAGGAUGGACUCGCGUCCAAUUAGCUAGUUGGUGAGGUAACGGCCCACCAAGGCGACGAUUGGUAGCCGGACUGAGAGGUUGAACGGCCACAUUGGGACUGAGACACGGCCCAG
RNAcentral lists this ribosomal RNA (237 nucleotides) under uncultured bacterium. Its description in RNAcentral is "partial 16S ribosomal RNA". It matches the Rfam family "Bacterial small subunit ribosomal RNA", at positions 99 to 334 of the family's 1533-position model. The record is from RNAcentral.